AAUGAACGCUGGCGGCAGGCCUAACACAUGCAAGUCGAACGGGUCCUUCGGGACUGGUGGCGGACGGGUGAGUAACGCGUGGGAACGUGCCCCUUGGUACGGAAUAGCCCCGGGAAACUGGGAGUAAUACCGUAUGUGGUCGAGAGACGAAAGAUUUAUCGCAAAGGGAUCGGCCCGCGUUGGAUUAGGUAGUUGGUGGGGUAAUGGCCUACCAAGCCGACGAUCCAUAGCUGGUUUGAGAGGAUGAUCAGCCACACUGGGACUGAGACACGGCCCAGACUCCUACGGGAGGCAGCAGUGGGGAAUCUUAGACAAUGGGGGAAACCCUGAUCUAGCCAUGCCGCGUGAUCGAUGAAGGCCUUAGGGUUGUAAAGAUCUUUCAGGGGGGAAGAUAAUGACUGUACCACCAGAAGAAGCCCCGGCUAACUCCGUGCCAGCAGCCGCAGUAA
This 449-nucleotide ribosomal RNA is filed under the name uncultured bacterium. RNAcentral describes it as "partial 16S ribosomal RNA". It matches the Rfam family "Bacterial small subunit ribosomal RNA", at positions 29 to 523 of the family's 1533-position model. The record is from RNAcentral.